AACCAGCACCUCAAGUGGUCAGGAUGAUUAUUGGGCCUAAAGCAUCCGUAGCCGGCUCUGUAAGUUUUCGGUUAAAUCUGUACGCUCAACGUACAGGCUGCCGGGAAUACUGCAGAGCUAGGGAGUGGGAGAGGUAGACGGUACUCGGUAGGAAGGGGUAAAAUCCUUUGAUCUAUUGAUGACCACCUGUGGCGAAGGCGCUCUGCUGGGCCAUCACUGACGCUCAUGGACGAAAGCCAGGGGAGCGAAAGGG
Molecule: ribosomal RNA, 253 nt
Filed under: uncultured archaeon
Lineage: Archaea
Description: partial 16S ribosomal RNA
Rfam family: Archaeal small subunit ribosomal RNA
Source: RNAcentral